This 793-nucleotide long non-coding RNA is filed under the name Marmota monax (woodchuck). Lineage: Eukaryota; Metazoa; Chordata; Mammalia; Rodentia; Sciuridae. The record is from RNAcentral.
GGGAAGCUAGGGCUUCAAGAGAAGUGAGGAGAUAAGCCACAGGAAAUGCUUCAUGAACACUCUGAUUAAACCAGCAGUGUUUGUGUUAAUUGGUUUUUCAUUGCCAUGAAGAAAAUACCUGACCAGAUGAACACAGAGGAGAAAACAUUUAUCUGGGGCUCAUAGGUUCAGAGGUCUCAGUCCAUAGAUGCCAUUGCUCUGGGCCCAAAGUGAGGAGGCACAUCAUGACCUAAGGGUUCUGCAGAGGAAAGCUGUUGCUCAUGGCAGCCAAGAAGCAGAGAGAGGGGGAAGGGGGAAUGAGCCCCAAGGAAGAAUAACUCUGUCAGGGCAUACUUCCAGUGACCCACCUCAUUCAGCCAAGCCCUACAUGCCUACAGUCACCACCCAUUCAGUCCAUUCAAACUAGGAUCGAAUGAUUAGGUUAGGCCUCUUAUAAGGUCUAAUCAUUUCACCUCUGAAUAUUUCAGCAUUAACACAGGAGCUUUGGGGAGAUGCCUAAUAUCCAGACCACAAUAGGGUUAAAGGAGAACAACACAGAGAAUGACAAUAGUAGUCAUAAAUAUGCCAUUACUAUUUGUACAUAGCAGUUAUGUUUUAGAAACAGAAAUAGAAAUAUUAAUAAAAGCCAAAAAAUAUUUUAAUCCUAUAGUCCACAUUUUAAAAAAUAAUGAAAUCUAUUAGAAACUUCUUUUGAUGAGUCCUUAAACUCUAUAUCAUAAACCUAGCCUUAUAUUUAUAUUACCUAUUCUUCAUUCCUAUCUUUCCUUACAUCUGCCUUCACCUUCUCUCCUGU